RNAcentral lists this non-coding RNA (30 nucleotides) under Homo sapiens (human). Lineage: Eukaryota; Metazoa; Chordata; Mammalia; Primates; Hominidae. The record is from RNAcentral.
UCCCAGGUUUGCCACAAGAAUUGCUGUUGA